AUAAAAAACUAAUUUUUAUAAUCAAAAGGGGUGACUAGGAAUAACAACCAAUUGCUUUAAUUAUUUUAAGAAGAGAAGCUCAUAAGGGUCUCCUAUACCCUUGAAUCAAAGACUAAUUGAUCGCGAACCACUCAUGAAUAAUUCAUUAUUUUUCAGUGGCCAUCCUACGGUUUAAAAAUUCGCUCCCCGCGCCUGGGAGGUCACUGGGAAUUCCCAGCUGUCUAGUCUUAGAAUCAGACGCGUAUUGGUUUUUUAGUUCUUACAAUAUUGAUUAAUUUAGUUUGUAUCGUAAUAUGCUUUGCCUGGCUUACUAUUUACAGCUACAAACUUCUAAAGGUGGCUACUUUAACCUGACAGGCCCCUAAUAUCUAGUCACGAUGGAGUGAGCUUUUGAUAGGACAACAACACCUGUCUAUAAUAUCAUCGCGUUAAGCUACAUGUAUACGCAUAGCGUAUCGAUAAAUAGUACGUGCAUAUGUUGCCAGGACGUGCGCAAUAAUAGUGUAAUUUGCUCUCCAACAAUACGCUACUCUACGCGACUCCAAUUCGAGGUCAAGUGCACAACAUUGAUUGGGUUGUUCCUCGGCAGUAAAACCGGAAGUGUAUCAUUUUUUAUAUCAGUUCUUAUUUUGGUAAUUCUCUUGUAAUCGAUUCCAGUCCAUACAUCAUCAGAUGAGCGUAUCAUUCCCUAAGUAUCUACUAACCAACCGGUUCAUCAAUGUCAGGAAUAGUACAAAGUUUAAAAGAGAGGUUCGGAAAACCAUUUAGAAAACGCAGGAAAUUAGGAGAAGAUGAGGAAGAGUGGU
Molecule: long non-coding RNA, 806 nt
Organism: Lytechinus variegatus (green sea urchin)
Lineage: Eukaryota; Metazoa; Echinodermata; Echinoidea; Temnopleuroida; Toxopneustidae
Exons: 2
Source: RefSeq, a predicted model, not a curated record